RNAcentral lists this ribosomal RNA (916 nucleotides) under uncultured archaeon. RNAcentral describes it as "SSU rRNA". It matches the Rfam family "Archaeal small subunit ribosomal RNA", at positions 1 to 922 of the family's 1478-position model. The record is from RNAcentral.
UUUCCGGUUGAUCCUGCCGGACCUGACUGCUAUCGGAUUGAUACUAAGCCAUGCGAGUCUUUGUAGUAAUACAAGGCAGACGGCUCAGUAACACGUAGUCAACCUACCCUAUGGACAAGAAUAAUCUCGGGAAACUGGGCAUAAUUCUUGAUAGAUCAUAAUGCCUGGAAUGGUUUAUGGUUAAAAUGAUUCGUCGCCAUAGGAUGGGACUGCGGCCUAUCAGCUUGUUGGUGAGGUAAUGGCCCACCAAGGCGAUUACAGGUACGGGCUCUGAGAGGAGAAGCCCGGAGAUGGGUACUGAGACACGGACCCAGGCCCUAUGGGGCGCAGCAGGCGAGAAAACUUUGCAAUGUGCGAAAGCACGACAAGGUUAAUCCGAGUGAUUUCUGCUAAAGAAAUCUUUUGCCAGUCAUAAAACCACUGGUGAAUAAGGGGUGGGCAAGUUCUGGUGUCAGCCGCCGCGGUAAAACCAGCACCUCAAGUGGUCAGGAUGAUUAUUGGGCCUAAAGCAUCCGUAGCCGGCUUUGUUAGUUUUCGGUUAAAUCCAUGUGCUCAACGCAUGGGCUGCCGAAAAUACUGCAUGGCUAGGGAGUGGGAGAGGUAGACGGUACUCAGUAGGAAGGGGUAAAAUCCUUUGAUCUAUUGAUGACCACCUGUGGCGAAGGCGGUCUACCAGAACACGUUCGACGGUGAGGGAUGAAAGCUGGGGGAGCAAACCGGAUUAGAUACCCGGGUAGUCCCAGCUGUGAACGAUGCAGACUCGAUGAUGCAUUGGCAUAAUAGCCAGUGCAGUGUCGCAGGGAAGCCGUUAAGUCUGCCGCCUGGGAAGUACGUACGCAAGUAUGAAACUUAAAGGAAUUGGCGGGGGAGCACCACAGGGGGUGAAGCCUGCGGUUCAAUUGGAGUCAACGCCGGG